Raphanus sativus (radish) is the source of this 1503-nucleotide long non-coding RNA. RefSeq lists it as uncharacterized. Lineage: Eukaryota; Viridiplantae; Streptophyta; Magnoliopsida; Brassicales; Brassicaceae. The transcript has 6 exons. The record is from RefSeq and is a predicted model, not a curated record.
GAAGAUGGUCUUAUGAGAUCAGUCUCUUCGAUUGUAACAAGCACUAAUCAGAACUUUAAAGUCUCGACGCCCCCGUUUCUGUUAGAUUGAUGGAGAAGACCCUUUUGUUGAGAUUGCACCAUAUCUAUUCAAAGUUGUUCAGGUUCUGUAACAAUGAAGACUUGAUAUCACUGGUGGAUCUCAAUUACAAACGUUCCCCCGGUUGUCGUCUAUCUUAUUUUUUAAUUAACACAAACCAACCAGAUGCAGAUGAUGUUUGUUUGAUUGCAGAUAUUAUUCGGGAAAUAAGGGGAAUCAAGACCACUUAUAACGAUGAAAGCCAACAGGCCAGUUAAUCAUGUUCACCCUAAGAAUAGAGAGGGGCACAAAUGUCUACUUCAGUGUUUUCUACAACCCUCGCAAACAAGCUUGAUGAGAAAUUGGUACUCACGGGUGAUGAGCAUAAGGUCAUUGUAGCAACAAACAUAAACCCGAAGUUAGUUGGAGGUCGACUCUUCCUAAAUGCUACUUCAUCACACAUUUUUGUUUUGACAAAGAGUGUGUCUCUAGCCAAAGCUUCUUUGAUGCGGAUAUUGCCAGAAACUGGAAUCUGUUACAGUUGCGGAGCUUAAUGCGUAUGUCCUAAACUCGGAGCCACAAAUGCAACCUCAACUCCUCUCAUCCAUUACUUUUACUUCUAAUCUAUAUAGGUUAAUGAUUCCGAUGUCAUGCAACCACAGGCAGCAGAUUUUUCUGCACUUUUGAAGUGGACAAUAUUGACAUCUAGAACAGGUACUGUGUGCAAAUGUACGUCUCUGAUGCCUCUGAAUCUGAUUGUGUUUCUGGCUUUCGAUGUGCCAGUCACCAAGUUGACACUGCAACGGUUUCACAUCUAAUGAUCCAGAUAAGUGAUCCUUUCCACUAUGCCUAAAGGAUUUAGUGGGCAUGACCGACACUUUCCAGUUAAAGCUGGACUGCAUUCAACUUUACAACGAAACAUCAGACUUUUACAAUGGCACGGACCUUUGACCACAACGAAUAUCUGUCACAACCUAACUUUGAGGAAAAUCUAUGUUCAUACAUUAUAUGCAACUCUACACCUCGCUUGCUUUAGUAUUUAGAUAUUUUAACUAUCCAUGCCCAGGGAGGUGAUAAUAACCCAGGUGAUGAGAUGCCUAGAGCUUGAACUGUGAUAACAAAGCCCUCCCUUGGUUUAAGCAGAGCAAAACCCUUGAGGCCAGUGUAUGGAUGAAUGCAUCCGGGAUUGUUGAAGGAGCUGUUUCUGCGAGUGCACCUUCACUUGCUGAACCUAUUCCACGUCUAAUAAAUGUUGAGAGGAUGUAACUUCCAGAAGAAGAGCCAGUGAGCAAAAGUCUCCGGAAGACUUGGUUCUUUAACUUAGUGAGCUACUGUGAUGACUGAUCACCACUGCUACUCCAUUUGUAAUGUGCAUAACUACAUUUUAGACCCUCCACUGUUGGAUUUUUUUUUUUUAAUAGCCUUGGGGAGAGCGUUGCUUAUGAA